GGAGAUCACUCUUCUUGGGGUCUUCUCAGCAAGCCCAGGACAGGCAGGCAUUCUGAACUCAUGCAUCUCCAAGGAGCUCUGAGCAUUCUGGCCAGCCCUGUACUGGAGACAUGGGACAACUUAAUCCCUUUUCUCAAGCAGAAGCAGCACCUCAGGUGCUUGAGGCGUUUAAAGGAUGCUUUUCCCUUUCCCAGGCAGAUGCCACUUCCAGCUCACCAAAUCGUACCCCUAAAAGCAGAGGCAGAACUACAAAAGUUAUAGCAUUGUAGUCAUGCUGGCUUGCUGACACAGGGAGGAGGUACUACCUAGAAAAUGCCAGCAAAUGGUGAGAAAGAAUGGAUCUUCCCUCCUCAAGUUUAGCAAGAAAUUGGGAGCAGGUGACUUGGAUGUGGACCAGCCCUCACAUGAGUCAGCAUGGGGAGGUGGGUGAAUAAAGGGGACUUCUCAAACCCCUGGUCUCUCAUUGCCUAUUGAUGAUGGAGCCUUCAAAUCCACCAACACCUCCUGGGAGAGCGAUACAGCAGCAUGGAGUUGUUCCGUUCUUGAGGUGUGUUGGGAUAACAUCUCAUUUCCAAUGAUUUGGGGAAGGGUACUGGAAAAGCUGCUACUUUGGCUUUGAUUUGGGCUAACAAAGAACUGCUUGGGGAAAAAAAAAAGAGGGGGGGAGGAAGGUAAUUUCAGGCAACAAAUCACAAAAUAAUGGAGUGCACAGCGCCAAGAGAAAGGGAGUGAGAACAGCAGAAUGAGGAUAAUGGUCUGCAAAAAAAAUCUCUGGGAACUGGUUGGUGACAUCUCUAGGGAAGAUAAUCUGAGGAAUAAAGAGAGUAUAGGGAAGGUGGCAAUUACCUAAAGUGACUGCAUUAGGGCACCAAAACAAGCCAUCUCAAUGCAGAGGGACAAGAGGAAGGUGGCUCAGAGACCUGGCAGAUGUGAGGCCCUAAAGGAGUUGCAGAGAAAGGGACCCAGCGAUGAGGAGAGCAGAUGCAGAAAUGCAAGCAGAACAAGAUCCAGUAGGCCAUCAGUUUAAUGGCUGCGAAAAACUAUUUUCUAAGUGCAUGGGAAGGAGAACGAGAGAUAAGGAGAGCCCAAGCUCUUUGCUUCUUGAAUGGAGGAGAGCCAAGAGUUGCAGUGCAGGAACCCUGUGUGGGCUGAGCUUCAGCCCUCCCUCCCAUCCAAUUCAUUAGGACAGGGUAAUUGCACCAGGCUCCAAUCCAGCCCAGAGGAGAGCAUCCUCCAGGGCAUUUAGAGUCAAGUGUGCUCCUGUUAGCAGGGCAUGCCUCAGGCUGCCUUCACAGAGCUAACCCAACUUCUGGGGCAUGCAGGGUUUCUCCAAGUCCUGCAGGAGCAUAGUGGUCUGGGAGCACCAUGGUGGGGCUGUCCAAGGAAAUCACCUGCAGGAACUCAAAAAUGGCUAUUAAUGGGACCGAAGGAAGGGCUGGGGACCUCGUGCUGAGCUUCAGGUGGAGGUGAGUGAAUCAGAUGCUCUGCCUCAUCCCCUGCAGUUGUGCCAGCAUCACUGCAAGCUGAUGAGCUCACUUGUGUGUCUGUCCCAGCCAGUCGCUGCCACGCAGUGCAGCCCACAGAGGCCAUCCCUGCCCUACAGCCGUGCUGCAGCCACCAGCUCGUCCCAAUCACUGUCAUCUCCAGUGCUGGCAUUCCUCAUCUUUAUCCACGCCAUGGGCUGCCCCCCAUCCCUGUCUCUUGGGUUCAGAGACCUGAAGAAAACCUCAGGCUUUGCUCAGGGCUUGUUUUCCAUCUCUUCUGCCCCUCUCUUCAUAUUGCAGCACAGCAUCCCUGCUGCCCAUCACCUCUGCGCUGUGUCCCCAGGGACCACAGUUCUGCCGUGCUCUUUGCAUGUCUGUGUUUGUCUUAGUGGUUGACCCCUUCAGUUGAUAUUAGCCUCCCGGUCACCUCCACCACUGCCUGUCACAGCCAAUUAGAAAUACAGUCAUCUCUGCAUCAUGGUCCUCGUUAAACCAACCGUUCCUUCUACCUGCUGCAGUCGUCACCUCAUUAUAACUCCAUUACCUUUAACAACAACUCCAUUACCAUCCAUUAUCUUUCUUAUCAUCUCCUUUACAAGGCUGUUAUCUGCACCUCCUCCUCUCCAGCUAUCCCCUCCUCAAUUACGAUACCAUUAUCUUUAUUACCACCCCAUUAGAGUCAUAAUUAUUCCCAUUACAAUUCCAAGAUCCGUGCCUCCAUCCAGACACCCCGUUGUCUCUUGCAGCCCCAUUACCACCACCAGCACUGCUCCUGGUUGCCUCCCUUAGCACUAUAACCACCUCCCUCCCUGCAUUCCUAAUCAUCCCCAUGCCGACAGCCAUCUUUUAAUUAUUUUUCAUUACAGUUUUAUUGUGUUUUGCUGUUAUGACUUCCUUUACCAGCCAUUCUGCUGGAGUGCUGUGAUUGGGAUCAGUACCUGGGUGGGAGCUGGUGCUCAGGUCCGUGGUGUUAUGACACUACACUGACUACCACUGGUUCUGUGUGGGUAUCUUUCACCCCAUCCUCCAUCAUAAUUCCAGCAUUUCCACAUCUGCUGUAGCCUAAUUACUGGCAUUUUCCUUCCACCAGCCUCCUGCUCAUCCCCAUUGCAGCUCCUUGAUGGGCACAGCCCCUGCUCCAGCCAUCAGAGCCCCUCUCCUCCUGCCUAGGCAGAGCAGCCUCCCCAGCACUCUCUGAUUUCCCAUGCCUACAGCUGGCAACAGCUCCAGGUACAGUUUGAUCUCUUCAUUAACCCCAUUAUUGUAGGGGAAGAAGUACCAACUUCCCCAUACUCCCAACUUUCCCAAAUUCCCAUGGUGCAGCCCUGAGCACUGCAUCCCAUUGGUGCUCCUCUCCGUGUAGCUGCUGUGCUCUGGGCACUGCCAAAACCACUUGCCUGUGACCACAGCACCAACACCUUCCCCAAACCACCCCAUUCCCUCAGGGAUGAUGUUGGAAGGUUCUUCCAUCAGCACUGAUAGGAGGGAGAGUUUCUUGCUUGGCAUCGGCGCCACAUCUGUGGUUUUUGGGGUCUGGCAGUGCUGUAUCUCUCUGAAUCUCAUGGGAAUGUUUCAGAGUAGAGCAGAGUUUCUUAAGAAGUCUGUGUGGCUUAUCCAGAGUGACCAGAGCAUCGUAACACAGGUCUUACUGCCUCAUCGCAGCCCUUGCUCCAUGUGUGGGAGCACAGAACAUUGCCAGCUAAAGAUGUGAGCACCCAAACCUGGCACUGGGGAGAGUGAGUGGAUGGGCUUCUCCAUCCCUGGGGCAUCAUCUGGGAGAUGGGAUUGGCUGGAGGAAUGGGGGGAGCAGUGCAGGGGAAGGGCACCGUUCUGAGAGUGCUGAGCUGGAGUGCUUUGCUCUGCCUGUGGGCUGCUCAGCAAAGGAGGAUGUGGAAUCAGAGCAGUUAUAGAGAGUCACAAAAUCAUCAGAGGAAGGGAUACUGGAGAGAUGCAGAGAGCUGAGCCCGCUCAGUCCAUCAGGAAGAUGGAGAGGUAGCUUCAUUUGUUCCCAUAAGAACUGUCAAGGCAGGGAAACACUAAAGAAGGUACUAAAGAGCUGCUGAGCACUGAGAGGAGAGCAAAGCGAGCUGGCAGGGAGCGAAGGCAGCAGGGCUGGGGAUGCGAGGAUGCCCACUGUGUGUGCGGGCAGUGUUCAGUGGAGCUGAUGGACCCACCCCGCUGGGAUCGUGGGCGCUGGGAAGGGCC
Phasianus colchicus (ring-necked pheasant) is the source of this 3689-nucleotide long non-coding RNA. RefSeq lists it as uncharacterized. The record is from RefSeq and is a predicted model, not a curated record. Lineage: Eukaryota; Metazoa; Chordata; Aves; Galliformes; Phasianidae.